GAGAAAGUCUGCAAGAACUGCUAAUUCAUGCUCCCAUACAUAAAAGUAUGGCUUUCUUA
Molecule: transfer RNA, 59 nt
Filed under: Episoriculus caudatus (Hodgson's brown-toothed shrew)
Lineage: Eukaryota; Metazoa; Chordata; Mammalia; Eulipotyphla; Soricidae
Description: tRNA-Ser
Source: RNAcentral